GAUGAAGAACGUAGUGAAAUGCGAUAAGUAAUGUGAAUUGCAGAAUUCAGUGAAUCAUCGAAUCUUUGAACGCAUCUUGCGCUCCUUGGUAUUCUGAGGAGCAUGCCUGUUUGAGUGUCAUUAAAUUCUCAACUACACUGACUUUGAAUUGGUGUGGCUUGGAUUUGGGGGGAAAAUUGUUGUGGGCUUUUUGUAUAGUCUGCUCCCCUGAAAUUGAUUAGCGGUACCUUUGUGGAACUGUCUGCAGGUGUGAUAAUUAUCUACAUCUUAGACAUCUGCUGGAAUGCUGCUUUCUAAACCUUACUUGUAUUGACAAUCUUGACCUCAAAUCAGGUAGGACUACCCGCUGAACUUAAGCAUAUCAAUAAGCGGAGGA
Molecule: unclassified non-coding RNA, 376 nt
Filed under: soil metagenome
Description: partial contains 5.8S ribosomal RNA, internal transcribed spacer 2, and large subunit ribosomal RNA
Rfam family: 5.8S ribosomal RNA (bases 1-120)
Source: RNAcentral